GGCGGUGUGGGUAGGUAGCGGUGUGGGCAGGUAGCGGUGUGGGCAGGUAGCGGUGUGGGCAGGUAGCGGUGUGGGCAGGUAGCGGUGUGGGUAGGUAGCGGUGUGGGCAGGUAGCGGUGUGGGCAGGUAGCGGUGUGGGCAGGUAGCGGUGUGGGCAGGUAGCGGUGUGGGCAGGUAGCGGUGUGGGCAGGUAGCGGUGUGGGCAGGUAAUGGUGUGGGCAGGUA
This is a long non-coding RNA of Oncorhynchus keta (chum salmon), 225 nucleotides long. RefSeq lists it as uncharacterized. The record is from RefSeq and is a predicted model, not a curated record. The transcript has 4 exons. Lineage: Eukaryota; Metazoa; Chordata; Actinopteri; Salmoniformes; Salmonidae.